This 1314-nucleotide unclassified non-coding RNA is filed under the name Megachile rotundata (alfalfa leafcutting bee). RNAcentral describes it as "dNA polymerase epsilon subunit 4, transcript variant X5". The record is from RNAcentral. Lineage: Eukaryota; Metazoa; Arthropoda; Insecta; Hymenoptera; Megachilidae.
UGCUCCGUUCGAGAUAGACCAUAAAUCAUGAGUUCAAGAUAGAUUACAAAAAAGCGCAAUGAUUUUUCCUCGUUACGUAUAUAGUCACGAAAGCAAAAGCAGCACGUGGAAAGAUUUUGUACUUCGUUAGAACUGCGGGAAUUUUUUGGUAUUCUCAUGUAUGCUCCUGUGGAAUGAGAUAUAAACGGAUACAAAUAUGGCAAAUUUUGAAAGCGAAGGAAGUGCAAGUGAAAAAAAAUUGAACGAAAGUAAUAACAGUAUUGGUGGAGAAAAUUCUCAAGAUUCUCAAGAAGAAGUCGAAAAUAUCCGAGCCGAUGAAGAACAAAAAGAAAAGUUAGUGAAGUUACCACUAGGUAGAAUAAAAACAAUUAUAAAAAUGGAUCCCGAAGUAAACAUGAUUAACCAAGAAGCAGUUUUCUUAAUUACAAAAUCUACGGUAUACUUUGCUGCACGUGAAAGGAGAUUCAUGCAGGUCGACAACCUAGACAGAUUUUUAACCACGAGUGAGAUAACCCUAUACAUUUUCAUAACCAUACACAAACCGGAACAAAAUAGAAAUGUACUCGAGAGCAAAUCUGGUUUUCAUGAGAAAAAUGGUUGCCAAAAGAACGGGUCUCUAUCAGUAUAUCCACGAAAUGAAGUGAGAAAUGAUAAGCAGAUGGUAACAUAUUCAAGUCGCCAAAAACCGAUUCACAAAUGUUUCUUAUUGCGAAAAGAAGUUUAUUUGUAAAAUUUUGUUAGAAUCGGACCAAGACGGUUUUCCGAAGUUUUGCUACAUUUUCCGAAGUGGUCAUUCUACUGUCUAGAUGGCUGAGCAUUUUGAGGUCCUGUGAUGACCAUCAGAUUCAUCGGUAAAGAAGAGUACUGUUAUCAGAGCCGUCGGUCAAGAAAAGUUCUGUUUGCAAAUUUGAACAAAUGAUCAAUGUGUAAAGCAAUCGUAGUUUGAUCGUUUUCAAUCAUCAUCAUAUUAUAACGCAGAAACAUAUCCGACUGCGCAGGGUGUCAAGGUUUUCAUGAGAUAACCGCGGAUCCUGGGCAACAAAUUUUCGAACAAUAAAAAUUGCUCCAAUUUAAAAACUAAUUACGUCAUCAUUAAGAGUGGUCCAUUAGACUUUUCUGAGUUAAACCUCUUUGUAAAAAAUUUACUGUGCAUGUCUAUCUUUUACGGUUUAGGACUGCGCAGGAGGUCAAGAUUAAAUGAUUAAUUCCCCGUGCACAGCACAGGCGUUCCACAAGUUAAUAAUUAAAUGAUUAAACAAUAAGUUUAAUUCAGUUAGGCACUGUAUGAAAAGUGGUGAAAAUAAAGAAAAAUUA